This 14145-nucleotide long non-coding RNA is filed under the name Nicotiana benthamiana. RNAcentral describes it as "long non-coding RNA (NBEN_LNC012798)". Lineage: Eukaryota; Viridiplantae; Streptophyta; Magnoliopsida; Solanales; Solanaceae. The record is from RNAcentral.
UAAUUCUUAGGCAACAUACACCUAACCUAAUGUAGUAUCUAAUAUCUAAAAAAACCUAAACAAAAAAAAUACAACACCAGUUGCAUCUUCAAAAUUAAAAGCAGCCUUUCCCUUCGUCCAAGACAACACGCUAAAACGAGCAACCAUCCUCAGGAAAUCAUCAUCAUCAUCUUUCUCUCAAACGUAAAGGAAAAGCACAUACAGAUAGAAGGAAAAGCAGUGACCAAAAGUAAUCUCCUAAACUAAGGUAGUUGCUUCAGCUCUUUUACAUUAAAUCAUCACCAAAUUCUUUGUUAAAACCAGUCCAUAACCCAGUAGCUUAACACCACAUCCAAAUACCACUUCUUCUGCACAAACCUCCCAAACAUCUCAUAGAAUUUGGUAAAAUAAAAUAAAUGGGGUUCUGGUGUUCUGUUUCUAUUCGCGUUACGCUCUAGAUCCUGUUCAUGUAUUGGAUGCCGAUUUCGGUCCGAGUUCACUAGCUCGCUUGAGGAUUACUGUUCUAGGGCUUCUAUUUUCAUUGUAUUUGCUCUGAAGUUUCAGUAAUCAAAGGUCUGUUCUUCUAUCUUUUCACUAGUUAUUUUAUCUAUGUAUCUCCUUAUUUGUGGGUAUAACUGAAUAGACGAUAUAAAGCUUUAAUUUGUUUUACUAAUGCUUGGUAUUGUAUCUUUGUUUAGUGGAUUAAUGUUUGAGGUUAAUCAUAUUUUAAUUUGAUGAAUCUCGAAUCAGAUCUUAUAUUGAAUAAAAGCAAUAAUGUCACCAGUAGAGAAUAUUGAGUUGCAUAGAUUUAUGGUUGAACUUUUAUUUCAAUUAGACUCAUAAAUACAAUUGACCAAAUAAUUCUGCAUUUUUAUGGUCUCUGUGUGUUUUGUAUAAAUUUUGGUUUUCUUUGGGUUAGGCAUUGGUCUUUGUAGGUACACUCUGAAUUAAGAGAAUUGGGGUUAUAUAGAUAAAUUUAGCGUAUGUGAGCAUUAAUUUAAAAUUGGAAAGUGUUGGAUUUCUUUUAUUUUUUUUAAAGUGGUCAUCACAAGUUCAUCUCUUUCUACCUAUAAUAGAUAUUAUUCAUAAAUUAUGGCCUUGCAACAACCUCAAAUUGGUUUAGGAAAAUAAAUAAUGUCCAAACAUCCGUAGUUUACUUUAAAUUGAGUGCAACCCAUUAGAAUAGUUUGAGGCGUGUCGUGCCGAAUAAUAUCUCAAAAUGUAUGGCCCUCACUUAUUUAUUUCUUUUAAAAUCCUUAGAACUCGAGGCAUUCCAUCUAGCAAAUUUUCAUGGCCCUCGCAAAGUUAAAAAUGCGUAGUUGUUUUAGGCGCGUUAUUUUAAUAAUAUUACUUUUUUAAACUCGGGUGUACAUUUUAUGUGACCCGAUAAUGUUGAAUAAAAUGUGUUUCGGAUUGUGGGUGUAUUUCAUGUGGCGCGAUCCAAAGAUAUAUUUUAGACGAUGUUAAAUCUUCCUAAAUUAAUUAAAAGCGGUUAAUAAGUGAAAAAUUGUACCAUAGGCUAAAAGAUAGUUUAAAAUCAUAUAAUAGGCCAAUUAUGAUAGUUUAAGAGACCAUGCUAGAACCACGGGGGGUGCCUAACACCUUUCCUCGGGUUAACAGAAUUCCUUAUUCAAAAUUUCUAGUUCGUAGACUUCAAAAGGAAAGUCAAAUUUUCCUUGAUUUGAGAUUUUAAAAUAAACCGGUGACUUGGGAUACCAGAAAACAAACGAUCCCAAGUGGCGACUGUGAAUAAAAUCGAAUAAAUAAUCUCAUUUCGAACCAUGUCAUAUUAAUUGGAAAAACAACCUUGUACUACCUUUGGGUGGGAAAAAAAGAGGUGUGACAGCUCUGGCAACUCUGCUGGUGUCACGACCCAACCCCGGUCGUGAUGGCGCCAAACACCUUGUAAGGCAAGCCUGACUAUAUAAUCAAUCCCAGCCAAAACAAUGACUACAUUACCAGUUUUAGAUAAAAUCUCAGGUUAAUAACCAUAGAAAUACUGCGAAAAAACAUAACAUCAGUUAUAACAACACAACAGAUCCAGCGUCACAAGUCUGAGCCUCUAAAUACACUGAGUAGUGACCAAAACACAGUAAAGUCUAGAAAUUUUUCUGAAAUUUUUGUAUAGAAAAAUAAAAUAAAAUAAAAUAAAACAAAAGAAAAAACAAAAAAUCAAAAUCUAAAAUACGAGUUUCCUUCAUUUUCAAGUAUUUUUCAAAAAAAAAAAAUCAAAUCAAAAUUCAGAAACGAAAAUUCAAAAAUAUUCGGUUCUUCUUUAGAAGCCUUUCUUUUAUAAAUGUCCAUAAAAAUUUCAAAAUUGAAGUCCAAAAAUAUUUUCACAUUUUCUUUAGAAGUACUUUUGUAAGUAAAUAAAAAUACUCAGAAAUCCAAAAUAUUUUCUUAAAAAGUCCCUUUUUCGAAAAUUAAGAGGCAACUUCCAACCAUAUUUUCUUUCUUCCUUAGAAAAAGGUAAAACAAAUAAGAAUUCAAAUAAAAAUAUUUUCUUUUUUACUUCUAAAAUUCUCAAAAGUUCAAAUCGAAAGCAAAUAAAUUUUUAGAAGGUUUUUUUCAAAAACAAAACAAAAAAAUCAAAAUAGAAAAAAUAUUUCUUUUCUUCUUCUAAAGCAUUUCUUUCAAAUAUUUCAAAAAAAAGUUAGUAUACCUACUUCAUUCUCGAUCUUCCCGAACUACGCAAGUUCUGAUUCAUACGGAGUCUUGAUACGUAGGCAAACUCUAUCGGAUUCGAUCAUAGCUAUAAAAUUAGUUGAGUAAAAAAAUAAACAGAAAAAAAGAAAAAAAAGAAGAAAAAUAAAAGAGAGUGACAAAAAAUAAAAGCACGGCAAAAACAAAAAAAGAGUGCAAAAAGUAAAAGAGCAACAAAAAUGAGAUGAAAAAAAUCAAGAUUGAUUAAAGAGAUGCAAGAAUGGAGAAAAGAGCUACAGAGUGAAAAGGGCUAAUUAAGGUCGGGAUGAAAUAUGCAACAUGUUGAAACACAGGGUAGAAGCGUUUAACUGUUAGCUGCAUUGCAUCCCAACGCGCGAUUUCCUAUAUGUUAAAUGUCUCAAAACUAACUAGGUUGUUGGUGUGAGCGAAUUAGCCAGGUUUUGUUUAGGUGGUUGGUUUUGUUGGUAUGCGGUGAUGAACGCGCAACUUUGCACGCGGCCACAAUAUUAUACACAAAGCCGAGCUCCACCUCCCAGAAAUACCCAUCCUUACCAAGCUCCAUAUAAUCCCCAAUCAAAUAUUCCCCAGUAUAAUUCUCGCUGAGAAAGCCUUUUAAAAGGAAUUAGUUCACACAUAUUUGGUAAAUCAUACUCGGGCUUGUUCCAAAAGCUAGUCAGGCGAGGUCUGCUACAGCAAAUUGCUCAAAUCCGGCCGAACCCCGAGUUCCCACUGCACUGAGUUGAUGGUGGAUGUGAAUACCACUCUGGAGCAGUGAGACACGUUACAGAGGACUGUUGGACCCUCAAACUGGUAGUUGAAGAUUUUAUUGAAGCCGUAUGAAUUGUUUUUAGGAUGAAGAAUCUCUUGAUGCGAUGAACAAUCUAUUGACUGCCUACAAUGAAUGGUUAAUAGUCGGAAUGAUUUCUUAAGAUGAGGAAUUUGAUUAGGCACUGAAGGCCAUUGCAUGUGCACCCGACCCUUCUUCUUUUGUAUUUCAUCCCCGUUAUCCCCAUAUUAUGCUUCCCCGUGUGUUAGUAUAUGUGUUUGGUGAGUUUGAAGUGUUUCGGAUUGAAUUUGGAUAGAAAUGAGACAAAUUGUCUCUUUAAGGAAAAGCUUAAGUUGGACAAGUCAACCGGACAUUGACUUUAAGAGUUAGAGGGCUCAGAACGAAUUUCCAACGGCUCGACUACCAGCUCUGGACACGCUCGAGGACGAGCAGUUGUUUAAGUUGGGGAGGAUGUGACGACCUGAUCCGUCGUCUCUUGUAUCUCCGCCCCGUUAUCCCCAUAUUAUGCUUCCCCGUGUGUUAGUAUAUGUGUUUGGUGAGUUUGAAGUGUUUCGGAUUGAAUUUGGAUAGAAAUGAGACAAAUAGUCUCCUCAAGGAAAAUUUGAGUUGAAAAAGUCAACAGAACAUUGACUUGUGAGUUAGAGGGCUCGGAACAGAUUUCCGAUGGUCCGACUAGUUUCGAGGAAUGAUUUAUGGCUUGGGAGAGAAAAUGGAAUUUAAAUUGGAGGUCCGGUGUAGGAAUAGGCUUGAAUUGGCUAAGUUGAAUUUCAACGAAUUUUCGAUUGAUAAGUGAGAUUUUGAUCUGGGGUCGGAAUGGAAUUUCGAGAAUUUCAGUAGCUUCGUUAGGUGAUUUUGGAUAUGUAUGCAAAUUUUCAGGUCAUUCAGAAGUGUUUAGGUUGGGUUUUGGAUCGAAUGAGAUUUUGGAAAGUUCAUGUUUAACUUAAGAGUUGAAUUUGAGGAUUUUGGUGAUUUUUGGUGUUAGGGUUAGUGUUUUUAUGGCCCGAGCAAGUAUGAAGGAGGUAUUAAGUCGUGUUGGUGCUUUUGGUUGAGGUCUCGAGGGCAUCGGGGUGAUUUCAGAUGGUUAACGGAAGGAUUUUUUGCUUGGAAAGGUAGCAGAUUUUCAGUUGUAGGUGUUGUAGAGAUUUGGCCUUCGUGAUCGCGUGAAUCGAGUUACAAUCACGUAGGAUUGGGUUCUGGGUGCUUUGCGAUCACGUGGGUUGAGUUGCAAUCACGUAGUUGAGGCAUCUUAAGCAUCGCGUUUGCGGCCUGGGCAUCGCGUUCGCGUAAGGUAAAUUCCAAGCCUACGAUUUUUGGGCAUCGCGAUCGCGUGGGUGGUGACCAUGAUCGCGAAGAGAAAAGUGCAUCUGGGCAGACCUAUUUUAAUAGAAAUUUUAUCCACGGACUGUUUCAUAUUUCCUCCAUUUUUGCAUCACCUUGAGAGUUUGUUGAUGGAUUUUGAAGGGGAUUUCGACGGGAAGUGAUUGGAGGUAAGUCUCGUGGCCUUAAUACGUCAUUUUAUUGAAGAAUCAACCAUUAAUUCUUUGAAAUUGGGUGUAAAAGUUGAUGAACCAGGGCUUGAAAUAUCAAAAUUAAAAGUAGUGAUUUUGAGGAGCAAUUGGACUUCGAUUUUGAUGAAUUUUAUAUGUAUUGACUCGUGGCGUGACGAGGAUUCUGAAAAUGUGAAUUUCGUAAUUUUUCGAAAAGUGAGCCCGGUGCUCGGGUUUUGCCAACUUUGUGUUUUUGGGUGUAUUUCGAGUUAUUUCGAUUGGAUUAUGUUCCAUUGGCCUAUUUUGACUUAUUCCUAUUGGUUUUGAUCAUAUUUGGCAUCCGCGGAGGUUGAUCCUCGAGGGAAAAGCAUUGCGAGCUAGUUUGCGGCCGGCUUGAGGUGAGUAAUGGGUGUAGAUGAUGACCUGAGGGCUUGAAACCUCGGUAUAUCACAUUGUGACGCUGUUAUGAGGCUAGAAACACACACCAUGGCUAGUGCGGGGUCGUAUAUGUUGGAAAUUAUGACUCGGUCCAAUCCGAGGGAUAGAUUGUACUAUGUUGGCGAUUGCUUCGCAUACUAUGUUGAUGAUAUCUGGGCUUGAUACCAUGUUUGGGUCCUUAUGCCGACUUGUAAGAUCCUUCAGGGAUCAUUAUCUCAGAAUUAUCAUGAUUUGCAUAUUAUUUGAAGUCAGUCCAGGUUUAAAUACUAUUUUUGCAAAAAACUCAAAUGAUUUUUAGAUGAUAUUUCGGGCUGACGAGUACUAUAUUACUAUUUUUGGACAGUAUAAUAUUUUAAAAAGAAACGGUGGUAACUAUGGACACCGUGUAUUUUUAAAUGGAAACGGUGGUAACUAUGGACACUGUGAAUUUUUAAGUGGAAAUGGUGGUAACUAUGGGCACCGUGUAUUUUAAAUGAAAAUGGUGGUAACUACGGACACCGUGUAUUUUAACUUGAAAUGGUUGUAACUAAGGACACCGUGCAUUGUAUUGGAAACGGUGGUAACUAUUGGCACCGUGUAUUGUAAUGGAAACGGUGGUAACUAUUGGAACUGUAUGAUAUGGCGCUUGGGCUGUAGGAUCCCCUCCGGAGUCUGAACCUUCACAGUGAGCGCGGGUACCCAUAUGGAUCGGGCUGCACGUUCUGCAGUGUUCAUGCAUUGCAUUGCAUAUCAUGCAUUUAUUUACUAUUGCUUUAUCUGUAUAUCUUCGAGGCUUGUACUGUAUAGAACUGCUAGAUAGCUUCAUCUUGUGUUAUUUCGUAUUUUCUUAUCUUCGGGUUUUAGUACAUGCUUAUUACUCGCUGAGUGGGUUGAAUCACCCCAUACUCCAUGCACUUUGUGUGCAUAUCCAGGUGCUCCAGAGACCUAGUGCUACUGCUGUUGAUUACCCGAGCUAUUCAGAGUACUGAGUAGCUGCCUAGCGUCCGCAGGACAACUUACUCUGUCUCUAUCAGUCAUGUUCCUUUUGCUAUGUUGUCAGACUUUGUAUCAUUUCCGUUCAGACUUGUAUCUUGGUUUAUUAGAGGCUCUGUACUCGUGACUCCUUUGUUUUGAGAGGAUUAUUGUCUUGCUCAGUUGCGUUUUCAUUGGUAUUGUCUAUCCCUGGUUGAAAGUUUGAUAUUAAAUUCGAGCUUUUAUCCUGAAUUGUUUCUUUUUGGAUGGAAUUCCGUUUUGGUUGUGGUUUGGUCGGGCUUGCCCAGCCUCGUGGCCGGGCGCCAUCACGACCCGGUUUGGGGUCGUGAAAUGUUGGUAUCAAAGCCUAGGUUUACUAAGCCUCACGAUUCAUGAGCCGGUUUAGUAGAGUCUUGUUUAUGGGUGUGUCGUGCACCACACUUAUAAGCAGGAGGCUACAAAACCUUUAGUAAAGACUCCACUUUCUUGAAAACUUAUCGUGCGUCCUUGAUUCAGCUUUAAAGAGUAACUCUUGAAAUUCCUUCCACGUGUUCACAUGCAUGCAUGAGUGCUCGGUAUUAUAUGUGCUUCGAUGGCUUGCGAUUCCCCAAUCGAGGGGCAAGAUGUAAUCUUCAUGAGGUUGAUGUUGGGCCAGUCUGGAGGACUUGAGGCCGGGCGUUGCCUAAGGCUAAGCACUGAGGUGCUGACUGUAUGAUCAAGUGUUAUUAGUCGGAAUGGCAGUUGGGUGAUCGUGUGAUGAGUAUGCUAGUACUGCAAGAUGUAAUUAUAUGACCUGAUAGUGACGAAGGAGUCUGCUAGCUAAUGGAUGAACUGUCAAGUGAUUUGUUUCCUAUGGUGGUNNNNNNNNNNNNNNNNNNNNNNNNNNNNNNNNNNNNNNNNNNNNNNNNNNNNNNNNNNNNNNNNNNNNNNNNNNNNNNNNNNNNNNNNNNNNNNNNNNNNNNNNNNNNNNNNNNNNNNNNNNNNNNNNNNNNNNNNNNNNNNNNNUGCGCGUGAAGAAUCUUUUCGAGUCUCCUAGCUGGGAGUGUGUGUGUUGUGGUAUGAGUCCAUACUCAGGAAGACCAAUUGAUUGCGUGAGGAGUAUGACCGUGGAUGAUGUACCGAAAUAUUAUAUUGAAGAAAGCAGGUGGGUAUCCCUACAGAUUUAUUCUGAAAUGGCAUGAUCAUUAUGUGUAUGUUAUGAGAUCUUAUGUGUAAUUAAAAAGUAUUUUCUAUAUGUUAGGAUUCGAACAGGUGCAACACAUGUUCAUGUGUCAAUUUUGAUAAUAUAAUACGUGUAGCAUUGGGAUUUCUGUUAUUGAUAUACAUUGUGAUGUCUUGUAAUGUUGUGGACGUGUUGUUAGGAUGGUUUUGGUGGUUCUCUGGCAGAUGGAUAUGCUCAAUUACAAAGGAAACUCUGCCGAAAUUUUUGAAAAAUUUGGGACUUAGUAAAAAUCUUGCCGCCUAGAAGAGUGGGCUUCGCGGUUGUGUGAAUGAAAGAAAAUGCAGUAGGAUUAUAAUUUCUGAUGAUUCUUGUUUCCACAAGCUUGUGAAAGAGUUAGUUUAAUCUCGCCAUGAUAUUGCGAUAGCAAUAGAGUACAUUUGUUGUGAUGUAUAUUGCUUCGAGCUAAGUGGGGGAGGUUGCUGUGGAUGAGCUGAUUGAACUGUUAUGUACUGUGUUAAUUUCAAAUCGAUACAUGUGAGUGAAUCAGUUCUGGUUGCAGAAAAUGAGCCGAGGGUGGUACGAGUGAAACGAAAUUUUGCCAAAGGUUAUAUGGUGCUUCGUAUAUGUGGGAAAAUGAGAGAAUGUCUUGAGAUGACGAUAAGGGAUGCUUAGUGUUAAGAGAAGGAAGUUGUUUGGUUGUAUCAGAAUGAGAUCACGUCUUGUAGUGUCAGAGUGCUGAUAAGGCACAAGUGGUUUCAAUUCAUUAAGUCAAGUGAAUUGCCGUGUGUGUAAGAGUGAUGACUUUCGAGAAUAUUGUGGAUGUGUUCAAGAUUCUAUAUGUAUCACUCAGGUGUUUUAAGGUUGGGUAUGUGACCAAGUCAGUGUUUUCAUUAGAACAUGUCAAGACUUGUGGUAUUUUAUGUUAAUUACUGGAAUUCUAUGUAUCAGUAUUUAGGAAAGUAAUGGCAACUAAUUUAGAGUCGCAGGAAGUUCUUCGCGUAAGGUACUCUGGGAUGUGGUAUUUCUGAGGACGUUUGAGGAGGUAUUCAGAGGCCUAUGGGUCUUAGACAGUGCGGUCUGGUGUUUGGAUUUCGCAUAGUGAGCCUGGGUUGAGGAUUGUGGUGCUACAACAAGAGGGUACAUCAAGUUGAAAAUGAAUCAUGUGUGAAUCUAGACAAAUAAAAGAAUUUGUUAGGGGACCGAAUCGGUAUGGUAGGUAUGAUCAAUCGUUGGUAUGUGUUUGAGGUAAUGGGCUCUUACAAGCAUAGGGCAGCGAAGCUCCUGAGUACUGGAAGUCGUCUUAGCUUGGUUCAGGUAGAGGGAUUCCGUAUUUGGCAGUUUAAUUUGUGCAAAUAGAAUUGAGAGAAAAUUCUUGUUGAGUUCAUCAUGGUUUAGAGAUGUGUAGUAUCUAAGGUCACGCGGAGCAUGGUGUGUAAUAAUCUUCUUUUAAAUGGGAUCAAUGAAAGUUCUAGACUAGUUGAGUGCGUCGAUGUCUGCGGCGCAGAAGGGAUCAUGCGGAGCAUGGAGUGUGUAAUGAUCUUCUUUUAAAUGGGAUCAAUGAAAGUUCUAGUCUAGUUGAGUGUGUCGAUGUCUGCGGCGCAGAAGGGAGAUAAACGUUCUCGUGUUAUCCUUGGAGGAUAUGGUAUAUGCGGUAUGUUGUAAAUGACCGAGAUGGGCGUGUGCGAGGUUUCGCUUCAGUUCUGAAAGGUAUGGUGAUUUGGCUUUGUCUUAAAUAGCGAGUAGCUUUAGGUAAUCAAGGAAAUGACACCUUUAAUUUGAAGUGAUUUUGCGAUAGCAACAAGUAUCCACUACCUCGUAUUGCGGAUUUGUUUGACCAGCUUCAGGGGGCAAAGGUAUUCUCGAAGAUUGAUCUUCGUUCAGGCUAUCACUAGCUGAAUAUUAGAGAUUCUGACAUCAUGAAGACAGCUUUCAGGACUAGAUAUGGGCAUUAUGAGUUUUUGGUAUGUCCUUUGGGCUGAGAAAUGCCCCAGCCGCAUUCAUGCACCUGAUGAACAGUGUAUUUCGGCCAUAUUUGGAAUAUUUUGUGAUCCUUUUUAUUGAUGAUAUACUGGUGUACUCGCGUAGCCAGGAGGAGCACGCGCAACACUUGAGGGUGGUAUUGCAGAGGUUUAGAGAGGAGAAGCUCUAUGAAAAGUUCUCCAAGUGUGAGUUCUUGCUCAGUUCCGUGGCUUUUCUGGGACACGUGGUGUCCACUGAUGGUAUUCAGGAUGACCCAAAGAAGAUCGAGGCGGUUCAGAGUUGGCCCAGACCAUCCUCAGCUACUGAGAUUCGGAGUUUCCUCGGUUUGGCGGGUUUUUACCGUAGGUUCGUCCAGGGUUUUCAUCUAUUGCUUCGCCUUUGACGAAGUUGACGCAGAAGAAUGCACCAUUUGUAUGGUCAUAUGAGUGCAAGGAGAGCUUUCAAAGGCUCAAGUUAGUGUUGAAAAAGGACAUUGUGAGUUACGCGACUAGGUGUCUCAAUUAUCAGCAGGUCAAAUAUGAGCAUCAGAGACCCGGUGGUGUGCUUUAGCAGAUGGAUAUUCCAGAGUGGAAAUGGGAGAGGAUUACUAUGGACUUUGUUAGUGGUCUCCCCUCAUACCUUGAGGAAUUUUAAUUCUAUUUGGGUGAUUGUUGAUAGGCUGACCAAGUCUGUGCACUUCAUUCCGGUGUGUACUACCUACUCUUCGGAGCGAUUAGCAGAGAUUUUCCUCCGAGAGAUUGUGCGGUUGCAUGGGGUCCCAGUUUCUAUUGUCUCAGAUAGGGGUAUUCAGUUUUCUUCCCAGUUCUGGAAGACCUUUCAUCGGGAUUUGGGCACUCAGAUUCAGAUGAGCACAGUUUUUCAUCCUCAGACGGACGGACAGUCGGAGCGUACUAUUCAGAUAUUGGAGGACAUGUUGCAUGCAUGUGUUAUUGAUUUCGGAGGUUCUUGGGCUGAGUUCUUGCCGCUUGCAGAGUUUGCUUAUAGCAAUAGUUAUCAGUCCAGCAUUCAGAUGGCACCAUAUGAGGCUUUAUAUGGGAGACGGUGUAGAUCUCUAGUUUGUUGGUUUGAGCCCGGCGAGGCUAGAAUUUUGGGGACAAAGUUAGUACAAAAUGCGUUGGAGAAAGUGAAAGUUAUCCAGGAGAGACUUCCUAAUGCUUAGUCGCGUCAGAAGAGUUAUGUGGACCGGAUGGUUCGGGAUGUAUCAUAUAUGGUGGGCGAUAAGGUGUUGUUGAAGGUUUCACCUAUGAAAGGCGUGAUAAGGUUUGGUAAGAAAGGGAAGCUGAGUCCACGAUUUAUUGGACCUUUUGAGAUUCUCAUGAGGAUUGGGGAGGUGGCCUAUAUGCUUGCUUUGCCGCCCCACUUGUCGGGGGUUCAUCCGGUGUUCCAUGUUUCUAUGCUCAGGAAGUAUGUUGGGGACCCGUCUCAUGUAUUAGACUUCAGCACGAUCCAGUUAGAUGAGGAUUUGACCUAUGACGUGGAGUCAGUGGCUAUAUUGGGUCGAAGGGUCGAAAGUUGAGAUCAAAAGACAUAGCUUCGGUGAAGGUGAAGUGGAAAGGUCGGCCCGUGGAGGAGGACACUAUAGAUGAGGAUUUGACCUAUGAUGUGGAGCCAGUUGCUAUUUUGGGUCGACAGGUUUGGAAGUUGAGAUCAAAAGACAUAGCUUCGGUGAAGGUGCAAUGGAGGGGUCGGCUUGUGGAGGAGGCCACUUGGGAGACGGAGCAGGAGAUGCGGAGCAGAUAUCCUCAUUUGUUUGAGGCCCCAAGUAUGUUUCUUGACCCGCUCGAGGACGAGCAUUUGUUUUAGUUGGGGAGGAUGUGACGACCCGACCCUUCGCCUUUUCUAUUUCAGCCCCGUUAUUCUCGUUUUAUGCUUCCUCGUGUGUUUAUAUAUGUGUUUGAUGAGAUUGAAGUGUGUUGGGUUGAAUUUGGUUAAAAAUGAGACCAAUAGUCUCUUUAAGGAAAACAUAAGUUGGAAAAGUCAACCGGACGUUGACUUGUGUGUUAGAGGGAUGGAAACGGAUUUAUGACAAUUCUACUAGUUUCGGAUGGGGAUUUAUGACUUGGGAGUGAAGUCGGAACCAAAUUUGGAGGUCCGGUGUAGAAUAAGGCUUGAAUUGGUUAAGUUCGAAUUUUGGCGAAUUCCAGUUGAUAGGUGAGAUUUUGAUCCGGGGGUCGGAAUGGAAUUUCGAGAGUUGCAGUAGCUUUUUUAGGUGAUUUCGGAUAUGUAUGCAAAUAUUCAGGUCAAUCGGACGUCCUUUGGUUGGAUUUUGGAUCAAAUGCGAAUAUGGAAAAGUAAUAAUUUGAUUUAGGCUUGAAUUUGAGAAAUUUGAUGAUUUUGAUGUUAACGCUGGUUUUUUAUGGCCCGAGCGAGUUUGAAUGAAGUUUUAGAUCAUGUUAGUGCUUUUGGUUGAGGUCCCGGGGGGAGGGGGGAGGGGUGAUUCCGGGUGGCUAUCGGAAGGAUUUGAAGUGGGAAAUGUUGCAGAUUUUGAAGGUUCAGCAGUUGCAAAUAAUGGUUCUAUGCGAUCGCAGGUUUGGCUCCGCGAUCGCGUAGAAAGCCUGCUGGGGGUCCUGAGGUUGUUCAAUCCGAUCGCGUGUUCGUGGCUGCGAUCGCGUAGGUUGGGGGAGUUGUGCUCUGCAUUCGCAGAGGCUUGUUUGCGAUCGCAUAGGUUUGGUGGGUGAAGCAGUGCGAUCACAGGGUUAAGGUCGCGUUCGCAUAGGCCAUUGGGGGAGACCUGAGAAGUUGUUCUAUGCGAUCGCAGGAGGAAGUUCGCGAUCGCAUAGAGGAAAAGUCACCUGAGCAGUUAAGUUUAAGGGUUAUUUCAUCCGCGAGCGUCAUAUUAUUUCCUCCAUUUUUACAAAACCUUGAGAGCUCAUUGACGCAUUUUGAAGGGGAUUUCAAUGGGAAGUGCUUGGAGGUACGUCUCGUGGUCUUAUUACGUCAUUUUAAUGAAGAAUCCACCAUUAAUUCUCUGAAAUUUGGGGUAAAAGUUGAUGAACUAGGGCUUGAAAUUUCAAACAAACAUUGGGGAUUUGGAGGAGCAAUUGGACUCCGAUUUUGAUGAAUUUUAUAUGUACAGAAUCGUGGCGAGACGAGGAUUCUGAAAUGUGAAUUUCGUAAUUUUUCGAGAAGUGGGCCUGGGGCUCGAAUUUUACAAACUUCGUGUUUUUGGGUGUUUUUCAAGUCCUUUCUAUUGGGUUAUGUCCCAUUAGCCUAUUUUGACAUAUUCCUUGUGAUUUUGGUCAGAUUCUACACUCGAGGAGGUCGAUACGCGAGGAAAGCGCAAGGCGAGCUAGUUUUUUCGCCGGUUUGAGGUGAGUAAUGGUUGUGAAUGAUAUACUGAGGGUUAAUACAUGUAUUUGCAGUAUGCGGUGCCAUGUUGAGAUGAGACACGCACCUUGUGAUGAGCGUGGUGAUGUAUCUGCUGAGUAUUCUGACUUGGUCCAUCCCGAUUGAUGACUUACUGUACUUCUUGACUGAGAGUGAGCUUGGGCUCGAUUAUUAUGGGCUAGUUGCCAUGUUUGUGGCCUUGUGCCGAUCUAUAGAACCCCUAGGGAGCAUGUUGAGCUGCUGACCUCACUUUACCUAUUGGACACAUGCUGUCUGUUAUGAUUUUGAAUGUAAAUAAUGAAAUGAACCGGACUCUGAAAUUUGCACCCUAAAUGAGCAACACCUAGGGUUAAAUACCCUGCCUUAGCUGAGUGGGCCCGAGAGGCCAAGUCUAUGUUGACUGAGAGGGGUCAAGGACCCCACACUGAGGCUAAAUGAUAUAUACACACAUAUAUCGGAUCGGGCUGCACGCCGCAACAGUAUAUACAUAUACAUAUAUUGGAUCGGACUGCACGCCGCAGUACUAUAUUAUAUGGAUCGGACUGCACGCCGCAAUGGUAUAUUAUAUGGAUCGGAUUGCACGCCGCAAUAUAUUUGCGCUUAGGCUGAAGGAGCCCCUCCAGAGUCUGUACACACCCCCCGUGAGUGCAACUGGCUAUAUCUAUUGGAACGGGUUGCGCGCCGCAUCAUCUUAUAUAUUAUAUUGGAUCGGGCUGUGCGCCGCAGCACUAUGUAUGUAUACCUGGUGUUGGAUCGGGGUGCGCGCCGCAUCAGUGUUAGUGACUUGUCAGACGGAAAGGAAAAUAUUUUAUCUGAUUUGUUCCUCUGUUGGGUACUUAUUUACUGUUCUUGCUGUUGCAAUUAGAACUGUGUAGUACUUUUACCGGUUUUCUUACAUUAAGUUAUUAUUUGUUGCUGUUACUCACUGGGUUGGUAGACUCACCCCAUACUCCCUGCACCUUGUGUGCAGAUACAGGGAUCCCGGAGGCGUAGCCCUGCUUAUUUGCUGUGGUCUAGUUCCAUCCCGGAGUUAUCAAGGUAGUUGCUGGCGUCCGCUGAACCUGAUGUCUCCUCUCAUUUAUCUUUUGCUUCUAUGUCUAGACUUUACUGUGUUUUGGUCACUACUCAGUGUAUUUAAAGGCUCAGACUUCUAACGCCGGAUCUGUUGUGCUGUUAUUACUGAUGUUACCGGUUUUCUUACAUUAAGUUAUUAUUUAUUGCUGUUACUCACUUAGUUGGUAGACUCACCCCAUACUUCCUGCACCUUGUGUGCAGAUACAGGGAUCCCGAGGCGUUACCCUGCUUAUUUGCUGUGGUCUAGUUCCAUCCCGGAGUUAUCAAGGUAGCUGCUGGCGUCCGCAGAACCUGAU